AUGCCAGGUGUUAUACCGGUAGCUUCAGGUGGUAUUCAUGUUUGGCAUAUGCCAGCUCUGACCGAAAUCUUUGGGGACGAUUCUGUAUUACAAUUUGGUGGAGGAACUUUAGGACAUCCUUGGGGAAAUGCACCUGGUGCAGCAGCUAAUCGAGUGGCUUUAGAAGCCUGUGUACAAGCUCGUAACGAAGGGCGCGAUCUUGCUCGCAAAGCUUGUGAAGUAUGGAAGGCGAUCAAAUUCGAGUUCGAGACGGUAGAUACUAUUGAUAAGUAG
Molecule: ribosomal RNA, 273 nt
Filed under: Triticum aestivum (bread wheat)
Lineage: Eukaryota; Viridiplantae; Streptophyta; Magnoliopsida; Poales; Poaceae
Description: partial small subunit ribosomal RNA
Source: RNAcentral